RNAcentral lists this unclassified non-coding RNA (333 nucleotides) under plant metagenome. Its description in RNAcentral is "partial contains 5.8S ribosomal RNA, internal transcribed spacer 2, and large subunit ribosomal RNA". The stretch from base 1 to 105 matches the Rfam family "5.8S ribosomal RNA", at positions 50 to 154 of the family's 154-position model. The record is from RNAcentral.
GAAAUGCGAUAAGUAAUGUGAAUUGCAGAAUUCAGUGAAUCAUCGAAUCUUUGAACGCACAUUGCGCCCGCCAGUAUUCUGGCGGGCAUGCCUGUCCGAGCGUCAUUUCAACCAUCAAGCCCCCGGGCUUGUGUUGGGGACCUGCGGCUGCCCGCAGGCCCUGAAAACCAGUGGCGGGCUCGCUGUCACACCGAGCGUAGUAGCAAUCACCUCGCUCAGGGCGUGCUGCGGGUUCCGGCCGUUAAACAGCCUUACAAAACCCAAGGUUGACCUCGGAUCAGGUAGGAAGACCCGCUGAACUUAAGCAUAUCAAUAAGCGGAGGACUGUCUCCU